UGCGCAGGCGGUUUUGUAAGUCAGAUGUGAAAGCCCCGGGCUCAACCUGGGAACUGCGUUUGAAACUACAAGGCUAGAGUGUAGCAGAGGGGGGUAGAAUUCCACGUGUAGCAGUGAAAUGCGUAGAGAUGUGGAGGAAUACCGAUGGCGAAGGCAGCCCCCUGGGUUAACACUGACGCUCAUGUACGAAAGCGUGGGGAGCAAACAGGAUUAGAUACCCUGGUAGUCCACGCCCUAAACGAUGUCAACUAGUUGUCGGGAGAGGAGACUUUCUUGGUAACGCAGCUAACGCGUGAAGUUGACCGCCUGGGGAGUACGGCCGCAAGGUUAAA
RNAcentral lists this ribosomal RNA (332 nucleotides) under uncultured Sulfuricella sp. RNAcentral describes it as "bacterial SSU rRNA". It matches the Rfam family "Bacterial small subunit ribosomal RNA", at positions 568 to 898 of the family's 1533-position model. The record is from RNAcentral. Lineage: Bacteria; Pseudomonadati; Pseudomonadota; Betaproteobacteria; Nitrosomonadales; Sulfuricellaceae.